RNAcentral lists this ribosomal RNA (497 nucleotides) under uncultured bacterium. RNAcentral describes it as "partial 16S ribosomal RNA". It matches the Rfam family "Bacterial small subunit ribosomal RNA", at positions 28 to 507 of the family's 1533-position model. The record is from RNAcentral.
GAUGAACGCUGGCGGCGUGCCUAAUACAUGCAAGUCGAGCGAACGGACGAGAAGCUUGCUUCUCUGAUGUUAGCGGCGGACGGGUGAGUAACACGUGGAUAACCUACCUCUAAGACUGGGAUAACUUCGGGAAACCGGAGCUAAUACCGGAUAAUAUUUUGAACCGCAUGGUUCAAAAGUAAAAGACGGUCUUGCUGUCACUUAUAGAUGGAUCCGCGCUGCAUUAGCUAGUUGGUAAGGUAACGGCUUACCAAGGCAACGAUGCAUAGCCGACCUGAGAGGGUGAUCGGCCACACUGGAACUGAGACACGGUCCAGACUCCUACGGGAGGCAGCAGUAGGGAAUCUUCCGCAAUGGGCGAAAGCCUGACGGAGCAACGCCGCGUGAGUGAUGAAGGUCUUCGGAUCGUAAAACUCUGUUAUUAGGGAAGAACAUAUGUGUAAGUAACUGUGCACAUCUUGACGGUACCUAAUCAGAAAGCCACGGCUAACUACGUG